UGAUGCUUCCGCUAGACACGGUAAAUCACGGAGGACAUUUGAAUAAGCCGAGAGCAAUGAAUGCGAGUUUGAUGGCCCUGAAGCAAGCAGGGGUUGAAGGAGUUAUGGUGGAUGUGUGGUGGGGAUUGGUGGAGGUGGACGGACCUUCCAAGUACAACUGGGAAGGGUAUGCCGAGCUUGUGCAGAUGGUGCAAAAGCACGGCAUGAAGAUCCAAGUCGUCAUGUCUUUUCAUCAGUGCGGAGGAAAUGUUGGAGACUCAUGCAGGUGUGUUUGGUGGUUCUAAUUGCAGUAUAUUAUGUUUAAUGUUCUCUAUAACUUACACAACACGAACAGCCAUGCUAUUGGAUUUUUAAUGGAACCCUUGACAUGCUUAACAUAAAAGUGCUUAUGAGCAAAAAGUGCUUUCUAUGUUUUUGCCCAGAGUUUGAUCUAACUCCACCUAGUGUGGAUUUAUGCAGCGAUUCACUAAAGCACAAAUUUUAUGAAUUUUCAGCAUUCCUUUACCUCCAUGGGUGCUUGAAGAAGUCAGCAAGAACCCUGACCUUGUUUACACAGACAAAUCAGGCAGGAGGAAUCCCGAGUACAUAUCCUUGGGAUGUGAUUCAUUGCCUGUUCUCGGAGGAAGAACUCCUAUUCAGGUCUACACCGAUUACAUGAGGAGCUUCCACGACAGAUUCAUUGACUACUUGGGCGACGUUAUUGUGGUAAUUAUCUGCAACAAAAAUGUUAACUCAACUUUAUGCUAUUAUUUUUGUAGUAGAAAUUCAAAAGUUCAAAAAACUAGACAUAAAGAUUUUUGCCGGUGUCCGACUGGAAAAAUAAAAAAAGAUUUUCAAACAGAAGAAAACUAAUUUGGGCUAGGACAAACUGGCAUCAUUCGACGAAUGUCAACAUUCGUCUCAAAUUACAACGGACUUGUUUCAAAUUUCGAAACUCAAUUCCAAUUACUUGUACAGGAAAUUCAAGUAGGCAUGGGUCCUUGUGGGGAGCUCAGAUAUCCAGCUUAUCCAGAAAGCAACGGAACUUGGAGGUUUCCUGGAAUCGGGGAAUUCCAAUGUUAUGACAAGGUAAUUAUUCUAAACAGAAGCCCUUAUUCCAUUUCUGCUGGCCAAUUAAAUUACCCUAAACCGAACCACAUCAUAUUUCGAUAAUUUAUUUUUGUGAUAUUCCUUAUUCCUAAACAAGUUUUUAUGUCAAGCAGUACAUGAGAGCUUCCUUGGAAGCAUCAGCAGAGGCAAUGGGGAAGAGAGAUUGGGGAAGAAGUGGACCACAUGAUUCCGGCCAGUACAAUCAAUUUCCUGAAGACACCGGAUUUUUCAAAAGAGAUGGAACAUGGAACACUGAGUAUGGACAGUUCUUCCUUGAAUGGUACUCCGGAAAGCUACUAAGACACGGAGAUAGAAUAUUGUCAGCUGCGAAAGGAGUAUUCCAAGGAUCUGGAGCUAAACUAUCCGGAAAGAUUGCUGGGAUUCACUGGCACUACGGAUCAAGAUCACAUGCGGCUGAAUUAACUGCAGGCUACUACAACACAAGACACAGAGAUGGUUACGUACCAACAGCCAGGAUGUUCAGCAAAAACAUGGUUGUAUUAAACUUCACAUGCAUGGAAAUGAAAGAUAGAGAACAGCCUGAACAUGCAAAUUGCUCACCAGAAGGUCUGGUGAGGCAGGUAAAGAUGGCGACCAAGAGUGCUGGAAUUGACCUAGCAGGAGAAAAUGCCCUGGAGAGGUAUGACACUGGUGCGUUUGCACAAGUUUUAGCAACAAGCAGAUCAGAUUCCGGCAAUGCACUAAGUGCAUUUACAUAUCUCCGAAUGAACAAGAGAUUGUUCGAGGCCGAUAACUGGAGGAACAUGGUUGAAUUUGUGAGAAGCAUGGCAGAAGGUGGCCGGAACAGAAGUCUUUCAGAGUGCGACUCUACCGGAAGCGACCUCUUUGUUCGUUUUAUCAAAGAGAAGAAAGUCGAGAAAACCAAGGAAACUGUUCUUGUGUAAAGAUGCUAGAAAUUAUUUGUUUCAUUAUUUUGUUCCAUCACAAGCUUUUGUAGGGUGUGAUCUCACCUAUAUGAUGGUUCAGUCUUUUAAAUAGGAUGAAAUAUAUGGUGGAAACCUCUUCAUGGUCAUGUCCUGGCUUCUUCAACUAGAAUGCACCUUCAUUGUGAAGCAACUUGGUUUUGACAGUAAGUUUUAUGGAAUUAAGCUCUAAUCCAACCUUUGAUUUAUCGAAAAGUUAAGUCGAGUUUGCUAACUCUUUUAACUAAUUUUUUUGGUAAAUCAACGACCGGCUAGAGUUUACCUCCAAAUCUGCGGUCAGGUACUAGAUAUUCACAACUCAGGUGUAUUCAAUGUCUGUUUCAAUCCUCAAAUAGCAUCUUUUGAAAAAGAAGAAAAAAAUAACCAAAAGCAAAAAUAAUAUAGCCGUUAAAUCGUGUUGUUAAGUUUGUACAACCUUUCUACUCUAAAAAAUAUUUUCUUUUAUUUUACUCUUAAUUUUUUAUAAAAUUGUUAUCACAUAUUUACAAAUUUAAUUUACAAUUUGCGUAGAUUUGCAUAAAUGAGGAUAAUUAGAUUGACUUUUAAGGUUUUUAAUUAGGACAUAUGCCACUUGUAAGAGGUCUUAAGUUCGAUUCUAGCCAAACGUGAAUUUGAACAACAUUAUUGCUAGCCUAUUAUGAGUCUAACAUCAUCCCCUCCCCUUUAUUGCUAGCCUAUUCGGAAAUUAGGUUCAAGAAUCAAGAAUGCUUACAUCAUGCGUGUGAUGAACGCAAUACUGCCCAACUUAUGCUCUGAUACCAAACUGACACAUCCCGACUCAGAUUGUCCAUUAUGACUCCGAAUCGAGUGGUGCUGGCCGACACCUGGAAGGUAACGAAACCAUAAAGUGUAAUGGUGUGGAAUAUGUGAAUAAAUUUAAACCUAAAAAUGCCUAAAUAUGAGAGCGCUAUGAGCGGAAAUGAACUCAUUUCACACAUGAUGUCAGAGCAUAAGUAAAGUACAGUAGAAUGGAUUGAGAAUCAUAUCAUUGAAGGUAAUCUCCAAUGCCAAGAUUUACCACGAAUCCUCGUUGAUAAGAAAGCUCAGCUAUUAAACCUGGAGGGGUGAAAACAAAACAAGGGUGAGUGGGCCUGAAAAUAAAUUGUUAAUAAAGACCUUCUAAAAUGUUAUAACCCCUCGCUGUAAAACCUGUAUAGUUUCUAGAAAAUUAUACCAUGUAUAAGCAUGAAAUCAAAUGUAAAUCAAUAGUAAAUCCGUAAAUAUUCCAAAUCAUUACAUAUCAGUAGCAACAUAAUAAAAUCAGGUGCUCAUCAAUCUAUGCUGACACAUGAGUCGGAGUUGCCUAAUGCAACCUGUACGACUCAUACGCAACCUAUAUGACAGUGCCGGAGUCGCCUAUUAUUGCAGUCUGUACGAUAGUGGCAGAGUUGCCUAUAACACAAAUCUAGUCAUGUCAUAACUCAAUCAUUUUAAAUAACACAAUAAACUCACAUAAACUUACCUGCAUGUCCCUCUUUCACCUUAGCCCUUCAAAGCAUUCACAGUAAUUGUAUGUAGGUAAUAUGCAUAUGGAUAUGCCAUGAUGCAAUCUAAAACUCAACCAUAUCAUAGUAUUUUAGAAUAUAUAAAUAUAUAUGACAUGGCAUAAAAUGCAUAAAUCAAUUUAAAAGCACGUGUGGAAUUAUCAAUCAUAUAUAUAUAUAUAUAUAUAUACGAUAAAAAGGAAAAGACCCACUCACCUGAGAUCCGCGCUACGACUCCCUAGCACGAAUAUCGAGACAUCACGAACCAUUGUCGCCUAUAACAAUUAUCAAAUCACAUCUCAGAGUUCUUAUCGAUAGAACACGUAACUUACAUAAAACAUAUCCCCAAGGACGUUCUAGAAUGAUUUGUAACUCAUUGACCAAAAGUUAAUCGUUGAUCAAAGGUAGGGUCCAUAACCCUACAUAACUCAAUCCAGAAGAUCUGCACCUUUCCAAUCUGUAACUUCCAGAGAUCCACAUGAUGCUUCUAGAAUAACAUACUAAAAUCAUACCACGAUUCGACGGUCGGAUCUCCGCCAAUUGCCAAAAUGAAGUGACGGCUGACGUUUUAUUUUAUGAACUUACAAAUCCAAUUCGGGAAGAUUCGUACGUCUGAUUCCCAAUCCGUAAGUUCCUAAUAUCCUCAAAUAUUACUUACUAUAAUGUAUUAAAGUUUGAUGACAAUCCAACGGUCGGAUCGUUGAUUCAUAUUAUGAUGAAGUAGCGGUCUCUAUCAAAACUAUGAUCAACCGAUGAAAUUUUAUCAAUCGGACUUCUCAAAGGGAAUUAGGGUAUUAAAUUCAGCCUAGGAAAGUUAGGAGUGCCUUGCCCACCCGCCUCGGCCACGCGCCACCGCAGACAACUGCUGGCCGUCUUGACUCGCCGGUAAAAUCAACUUUUUCUAAAAAAUCUCAAAUUCAUAAAUGAAGAUCUCAAUGAGUAGAUCAAGUUUUAUACCUGUGGUCAAGUCCAAUUUGACCGGGAAAAGCUCCAAAUCAUCGUGAACCCGUCGGAACCCUAGAAUUUAGGUGUUUUUGUUUCGUCCUCAAAUUAACUCCGAUGAUCCAACCACUGAUUGGGCUUUGUUCUUUACCUUUUAAGGAGUGUUUUGGUGGUGAUAAUUGAAGAGAAAUGCUUCAGAAAUGGCGGAUUCCGUCGUGGCAACCUUCGGAACCCCCACGGGUUUGAUGGCUCAAUUCCCCUCAAAUUGAAGGUUAAAGGAACUGAGUUUUGCAUGGAAAUGAAAAAGGGAAGGAUGAUGAUUCAUUUUCAGGUGGUGGUGAGGUUCGAGUCGCUGGAAAAUCGACUAAAAAAUGAUGGAAAAACCUCUGGGUCGAGUGAGUCUGAUGGGGGAGAAACGGGUCAAGGAGAUCUGGCGCAUCUCUUUUCCCUCAUUUCCCCUCCUUGCUAUCUUCUCUGGUUGGUCCCUCACUUCUCUCAUCUUCCUGAUUGGGCAGCAACCCUCUCAGCUUCCUCAUUCGAUUGGGCAGCAGCCCUCCCUUUCUCCUCAGUUUCUUCUUUUCCUCGUUUCCUUUCUUUUCCCCCACUCAGCCACCCACAUGUGGCCUAAUAAUUUAGUACUAUAAAAUAAUAUAAAUAAUUAAAAUAGUUAUUUCUUCAUAAUAGUUUCGGGUUCGUAGCUCCGUAAAACUCCAUAACUCCAAAUUCACUUCUGCUUGCGCUUACGCGUUCGUAUCGUCGAGUACUUCAAGAAUACGCUAAAAAAAUAUUUAGUACGUCUCACUAUACUGAUAGGAGCAUAUUUAUGCAACUUAGUGAGCUUGUUUCUUGGCAUUUACUUAGUUUAAUUCUAGUUAUUUUAGUACUUUAAGCUAUUUUCGUGUGUUUGUAGGUUCAAAUAACAAAGUUGGCAACAAAGUGUUAUUUGGAACAUUUUGGAGCAUUUUUGGGCCAAGAUUGGAUAGUGCAAGCAUGGAGACAUGAGGAUGGACGUUUUUGAAGAUUAGAAAGCUAGAAAUCAGCAUGUGUGUGUGCAAGUGUGUUGACCUACAACUACAAAUAUCCAUCCACUACACCCAUUACAUCCACUCAUUACCAAACAUCCAUCCACUACACCCACUACAUCCACUCAUUACCAAACACUCAUCAACUACACCCAUUACAUCCACUCAUUACCACAACAUACAUCACUACCACCUUAAUUAGAUGGUGGUCCUCUCCCUAGCCUAUAAAUACAUCCACCCUUCACCAUAACAAAAGAUCAGAAAAAAUCCAUCCAAAGACACUACAUUCACAUCUCACAACUUCAUACACUUACACUUUCAUUCCUUGGCCGUGAGCACCAUCCAUUCAUCCAUUCAUCCAUCCAUUUCCCAUAUAUCUCAAAACACAACUCCAUACACUCCCUUCCCUUGGCCGAGACAUUCACCAAUCCUAAAUACAUUCAUAACCUUUCCAUAUAUCCAUACACAUCCUUAGACAAUUGUGCUGCAACAAGGUGGUGAAGACGAAGGUCCUUGGCGUUUCAAGCAUGAAACCUUGGAGCGUUUUAGGUGUACUUUGUUCUUGCUUUCAAUGUCUACUUUGUUAUUUUCUGAUUUUGUUGCAAUUAUGAGUAACUAAACCCCUCUUAGCUAGGGGGAAUUCGAAACCAUGUUCAUGCUUGCAAUAUGAUUUGAUUACUUUCAGUUGUGAUUCAUAAGUUGUGAAUUCAAUUUACUUAUCCAUUUGAAUUAAAAUUGAUUUGUGUAUGUUGGUUGAGAGUGCACGCUUAAUUUUCAUGCAUAACUCUGAUGCGAGGAUAUAAGGGAGUUUUACCUAAUCGUUAUGAACUUAUAUUCACAAGUAGUAAAGGUUGCUCGUCACAACCGUGUUAAGUAAAUUCUUGGCAUAAGUUUCAUGCAAUUCAUAGUUACAAGUGUUUCGUCAAUGCUUAUGAUUUUCAUAGAACUUAAUGAUUCUUGCUUGUAUCUCUAUUAUGCAAUUCAUGUAGGGAACUUGUGGGGAAUGCUUUGGGUUGUUGUACGCAAGCAUCCAAUUCAAUGAAAUUAGGAAAAUCUGAGGGUUAAUUAGUGCAAUUCACAGUUAAUCUGGGGCGUUGAGAAUUCGUAGUUUAUUGAAAAGCAACUGGAAAUCGUUUUGUUUGCAAGUGUGUCAUGUGUGGAGAAGAACCUCCUAGCUAUCCUUCCAUCCAUUCAAUCUACUCAAAUUCGUGCAGAUUUCAUUAGUUAUUUAAUUUACUUGUUUUGUUUUCAAAUUCGUCAAAACCAAAACCCCCUUUACCUUGUUGAGUCAUAUUAGUUAGAAACUGAUUUAGUUUGUGUUUUUAAGUAUUUCGAAACAAGUUAAAACCAAAAUUCGUCCAAAAGUGUGUUUAGAGUCCAAAUCUGCCCAGUUUGUGUUUUUAGGCAUAUUUGAGCGUUUUUAGCUUGUUUUGAGUUUUUUGAGUUUGUUUUGAAUUCUUUGAGUCUAGUUUAGUGUUUUUAACUUUGUUUAUAUGUUUUUAAGUCAGUUUAGAGGUUAUUAGCAAACCCUCCUAAUCCCCCAUCCAGAACGAUCCCUACUUACAUUCUUUACUACAAUUGAUACAAGAGGGUUUAAUUUGUGUGUUAAAUUAAUUUUCGCAUCAUAUACGUUGGUCAAUGAAAGUCAAAACCUUCACCUCUAGGGCAUUUUCGUAAAUUCACACUUUUAAAAUUUAUAAAAUCGUAGAACUAGGUACAGGUUGUCACACAUGCAUUUUCAUUCUCAAAUUUUUUUUUCUUUAAACAUUAAUUCUUUAUUUUUUUUGGUCAAACGAUAGAUUUUGUUAGAUUAGAUGUUAGGUUAGUCAUCGACGGGGUUUGAACCCACACCGUUAUGCAAGAAUUCAACACCUUUUUCACCGCUGUGGUAAAUGACCACUUGCUUAAUUCUUUGAUUUUUAGUCAGCAUAUUAAGUUUCAUAUAUCAAACACUAUUAUAAUAAUUUUUGACCUUCUUAAAUUAUGAUAAUAUAUAUAUAGUAGAUUCUUGUCGUUCAAUGAUUUAUAAAAAUAUUAGUUAGAGACUUUCCAUCUCGACUUAGCUUUCUGGUAAAUCAUGGAUGCGAUUAGAGCUUGAUUCCGUGUAAAAGUAUAUUCUGAAGACCAAGCUUCUUUAGUAUUGAAGAUAAAUUUUAGUUGGUAUUCUUAUACUUCACUUAUCUAACUAAGGAUCAAUUUUUUCAGGAAGCUAUGACCAAACCAUGAGAAGAUCUCAACUGCGUACUAAACCCUGAUUCAAUACAUGUAUUUGAAAUUAAUUCUGCAAAAAAGGAUCGAUGAGGGGUUAGAUUGAUUCUAAUAAUAAAGGAUACAAAUUUAUUCAACAUAUUGUUUCGAAAGUGAUCCAUAAAAAUGGUCAAUGAGGAAUUGAGUUGAUGGAGCAUAUUAAUUUCUUUGAAGUUGUGUAGGUUGGGCUAUGUUAACAAACAAAAUUAUUAGGGGUAUGACUAGUAUUUUAAAAAAUUAUUUCCAUAUUUUUUGGUUGGACUUUAGGUAUUUUUGUGUUUUUAUUCUCCUUGAAAUGUAUAAAAGUAGUAGAGUUACUCAAAAUAUUGUGCAUAUUUUUAUCUCUAUAUGUAAGGCUCCCUUCUUAUAGUUUUGGUUUUUUAUUGCAAGUUAAUUUGUUGCAUGAUUCCCUACUAUGGCAUGAAAGAUCUUUUUGUGUUUGUUUGUUUCUUUUCAAGUCGGCAUUUUAAUUAUUCGACUAUUUUCAAGUCAUGUGACAAAAAAAAAAAAGUUCUGUAGUUUAUAUGGCUUGUGUUUUUACACUAUAUAUGUUGCAUAUUGUAAAUGUGAAUUUACUUAGGAAUUAGCUAAUUUCUUAGACUUGUAAUUGUGUCUUCGUUUCGUAGAUUUAGGCCUAGUUUUUAGGCAAAUUAAUUUGGGGCACAAGACUUAUCCAGAUUGAGUAGAUCAAGGGUUGACUUUGUCUACAAGGUAAUUUGCAUUUGCAUAUCAUAUUAGGAAAACUAUAUUUUUGUGAUUAAGUUUUAUUAGGAAUGAAAUUCAUAAUAAAAUCAAUUAGCAGAAUUGUUUUCUUUUUUACGUUAAAAUCAAUUCUACUUUUUCCUACUCUUUUUGGAACGUGAUUUCUCUUGAUUAAAAAAAGCAAAGCUUGAAGACCUUUGUGACUUACUUCUGCAAAAUCUGAUUUGAGAGAUUUACAUUGAGAGAAGCAAAGGUGAGUUCAUGGAAAAUUAGAAUGAUAAAGCAACUUUGUGAAGCUUUUUAUUUCUAGUUUGCAUCUUCAUAUUUCAUAGUCUAUAUUGGAAGCUGUGUGCAGUGAAAGCUACGUGCUGCAUGCUUGUUCGUGAGGAUCAUCGAUUUGAGAGAGUUCAAGCAAGGACCAUGUAAGGCAAGACAAAAGUAUUGGGUAGAUUCUUGUUUAAGAGUUUAUCUUCUUGAGUCUUGUAAUAGUCUAUUCUUAGUGGAUUUCUAGACGUUAUUCCCGGUUGGGUUUUUUCCUCGUACCAUUGGGUACAAAAAUCCUUUUGUUAAUUUACUUCUGUUGCAAGAUUAUAUUAGUUUGAUUUGGGAUUGAAAUCUUUGUCCAAUCAUAUUUCGGUUAUCUAUUUACUCGACCUGAGGCACGAUUUCACAUAUGACACUCAAGGGAGAGAGGCUAAAAGCGGUUUCAAAUAACCGAAAGUGUUUCUGUAAGAGUUAGAAACUCUAAAGAUGAUAGUUUUGAGGAGGCUAAAAUGCCUCUGAGUCUUACUGAUUUCCGAAAAGGUGGACCGCCAUAACGAAGCCACCAAUUAGUUCCAUUUUUAGUAAAGAGAAACCCUAAUAUAUGUGAAAAUUGUCCAUUUUUUUUUUUUUUAUCUCUGCUCAUUGUUUUCACUUGGUUGUGAAUUUUCAACCAAUUGCCUAUUAGUUAACAAGUUCCCUUCGGAUUUCAUUUUCCUGGUAAUUUGUUGGGGUUCUCCUCGUGAAUUGAGAUAAAGGUGAAUCGGAUAUGAGAGUGAGAACGUCGAAGAGAUAAGGUUUUCAUAAUCUCCACAAGAAUACUUAUGGUAGACUUGUUAAGUACAUGCCCACACAAAUCAUCAGAUUGAAAAAAAAAAAAUAUCGACAUCUAGAUCUUUAAGAUUCCAACUCAUUUUUUCUAUUUUGAACCAAGUGCAGAACGCCUUCGCGAUUGAAAACUAUCAUUGAGGACAUCAGAUUACUUUCUAGACCUUGACUCGUGUCUUCCGAAAGGCGAUUUUUUUUGUUGAUGUCGUUAGAACACUCCAUUCAUAAUACUUAUAUUUGGAAUGUCUCCAGAUCCAUUUAGUUUGAUUUCAUCUUACACCAUCACCAUCACUUCCGAUCUCACCUCUCUAUUAUAGUACAUCAAAUUAAACGGGUCUUAACGGGUACCCAUUAACAACUCAAUAAGUUAAGGGGUGUGCUAUCCACACACCCCUUUUUACUUCUCUCAUACCCUUUGUUAAUUUCUGUCAUUUGAUCUUCUUCAAUUCAUUUAAUUCAACGACCGAAAAUUAAAAAGAUGUGAGAGAAGUAAGAAGGGGUGUGUGGAUAUCAUACUUCUAAGUUAAUUUGCUACCUCGAGUUUGGAGCACUGCAGAUAUUAUUAUUAAUAGCCAAUAAAGUUAAUGUUUCUCAUUAAAACUUCAGUCGGCAUAUGAAAACACACGCAACAUGUAGAGGUUAUUUUGGUUAAUUUCAAAAACAGGUGGGAACUAGGAUAUAUGUACACAAAUAGAUAUACGACUCCCAUCUAUCAUCCAUGCAAACGCGGCAUUGGUCGAAAAAAGCCAAAAAUCCUGGAAUGGGGACUUCUUCCCCAAAAACAAUAAAAAAUGCGGAGUCGUUGAAGCGAUUAAGUUUGAAUACUCCAGAGUUUAGGGCUUAAUGGAAAGACAUAAAAUCCAAGACAGGAGAAAGCAGCAAAGACAUUGUUGGAAACCACAUGUUCAAUUGCUAAUGCCAUUCCCAGCAAUACUACUUCUCUUUUGUCCUAAAUCAACCAAAGCCAAGAAAACCUUUUUUUAUUUUUUAUUUUUUGAGUUGACUGAUAUUGUCGUUAAGUUAGAAAUUAAUUUGCCAUGAAGUUCGAACCCUAACUGUCAUGUAAAGACAUCGUUUAUCUCCACCAAUAUGGUAGAGAGCCACCUACUAGCCAAGAAAACUUAUAAUUCCUGAGAUAUUUUCUGAUCCACAAAAAUGCGGUGUCGUCUAACACAUAUAGACCAAACACAACCCUAGCUAGCUUGUUUGUGGGGUUUUCUCUACACUGUUCAAAACAAAACCACCCAAUGCUUAUCACGCCAAAUUAUAGAUAUAGGCCCGACGUUUCGUUUCUUUUUUCACAGAUAAACAAGCAUUUGAAAAAGAAAAAGAAGAAUAGAAUACCUACAGAUAUUCGUUCAUGCUAGCCAAUAUUUUAAAAGGCAAAGGCAGAGGUGUAGGUAAGGCGUUUAUGGAUAGCCCCGUCUAGGUUAAAGUCUUGAGGUGUAAGGCGAAGCUUUAAGGGACCUAAAUAAUUGAGGACUAUUGUGAGUAUAAUUGGGGACAACUGUGGAUUAUUAAAAAAAAAAAAAACAGGGGACUAUUUGAAGGAAUUAUUUUGAAAAACAUGUUCAUUUGAGCAACAUCAUAUAGCAUGCAAUUAACAAUUAAAGGCGGAAUCAUGCUUGCAUGCACUCAAAAACAAAACAUUACCAUGAAAUUCAAAGCCUAGUAGAUUGGUGAACCAAUAAUCAACUCAAAACAAAGUGAGUUGAAAUUAUUACCUUUGUAGAUUCCUCUUUGCAUAAGCAAAGGCUAAUCACCCAAAGAGAUAGGGCCUUCAUUCCUUGCUUCUUAGAUCCAUGGAUUUGGAUGGAAAAAUAGGUUUCUCCAAGUUCCCAAAAUAGGGAACCUCUAAGUCUCUUCACCAAGGUUUGAUUGUAGAAGAAAUGAGUGACCUUGGAGUAGUAGGAUUGCUAGAUGUACCCUCCAAGGUGUUGGCCUCUUUAGAGAGAAAAUGGAGAGACAAUUCUCACCCAUUUUCACCCAAAAUAAACCCUUAAUUUUUUUCCUUAAUGAAUUUUGGCUAUAAAGUCAUUUAUAUAGUCACUUCUUUAAGUAACCUAAACAACCAAAACCCUAAUUCAUCUAAUAUGGCCGGCCAUUUAGGGAUGUUUGGGCUUUUGGGCUUUAAUGAAUCUUUAUUCAUUAAAUUGUCAUACAAUUUAAGUUAAUGGGCUUGACGUUCGAAGCCCAUUGGGCCUUAAGGUCCAAAACUAUCCCGAAGUCUUUAACGAACUUAUUCGUUUGAUUAAUUAACAUAUUAAUUAAUCCUUGCCAUAAUUAAAUGAUUAAACCAUUUAAUCAUUCUUACUCAUUUCCGUUUAAUCUUCAAUCUCCACCUUUUAUGGUGUGCGAUCCAUUAGGUUCCUUUUAGCGAGGCAGUGGGCGAUUAAAACCAUUUUACAUCGAUUGUGAAUUGAACAAUUUUCAAUUGUCCCUUUAGUGAUUACACACGUUUAGGGCUUCCACAAACCAUGAGUGACACCUAGCAGCAUAUCAUGGUUACCCAAGCUAAUCAGAAGAGGAUAGAGAACCUAUUCAGUUUGGGAUUACAAAUGCAAUACGGUCCUUCUCUAAUCUAAUACUCUUGACCACAUUGUUUGGUAUGAUAGUUUAUUUACUCAUGUCUACUAUCCAAUGUGAAUCGUUUGCUUAUAUGAUUUCCUUGAAUGUGAUUUGGAACGCAUUCCCCAAUCUCAUUCAUACUCUGGCCAGAGAUUCCAAAUCAUAUCAUAGAGUAUUCUCCCUCAACUGUUUGAAGGUUAGAGAUCCCUUGUUGCGCAUUCACUUGUCUCCAUAGCUAAGUGGCUUAACCCCAACGAUGCCGUGACACCCCGAGGGGGUGAAUUAGACAUAAUCAAAGAUUAAGGACUUAACCACAAGACAACUGUGAUGCCUCAGGUCAAAGGACUACUUUGCAUUAUCCCAACCAUGAGUUCUCAUGUGACAUGGAAUAUAAGAACUCUUCGUUGAUCACGUUUAGUGAACUCAUUCUCUUAUUGAGCACCUACGUACUUGUCUUGAUGUCACACACACCAAUGACUCGAGACUAGUCACUCUCCCUGAGAGAAGACACAGUACGUACUGAUCUUAACGGACUGUCAAUGCCCAAUUGGUAAUCCUAUGAUCAGGAACAUUUAGGAUGUGUCUACGAAAGAAUGGUCUCAUUAAUCUAACUUCAUUAGAUUGCAUUCUCCCAAUCACAUAUUCCUUGGACUUUAUCGUUUAAGCAUAUAACAUUUAUAUGAGACGGCUCAAACAAUAAUCUUUACCCUUUAUAUGUUAAACUAGAUUAGUUUAACAUUUGAAAUGUCCGUAAAGUAUCAUCAUAUGAUUGGUUUUAGGGCACAUUUCCAACACUAUUGUGGGUUAUAAAAAAAAAAUAGAAUUGACAAAACGACGUUGUUUUGGAUCAAGUCAUUUAAAAAAAAAAUAAAGAAUUGUCUAAAAUGACGUCGUUUUAGACCAAGUCUUUCGAAAAAAGAAAAAAAAAUCUUUUUCUUUGUUUGUACCAUACUUAGGGCCUUCGUAUUUAGAUCUCGUAUAAAUACUCGGGGGACUUAAAUGUAAUUAUGUAAUAAAGGAAUGGGCAAAUAUGUAAUAAGUGAGGAGCCAUUAUUCUAUAAAAGAACUCCUCACCCCCACAAUUAGGGGAGGCCAUUUCUGAAGCCUUUUCACCUCUCUCACAUCCCCUCUCAUAUUCAGAGUUUCUCUCCCUCACCUCUCAGAUAAAUACAAUAUCAGUGUAGGCGUAGCCCAAACCUUGGGGUGAACCACGAUAGAUCUUAUGUUAUUUACAUUUCUUGCAGAUUCACGGUCGGAUUUACGUUGUUCCAAGACCUCCGGUUUUGUGCAUCAACAUUUGGCACCGUCUGUGGGAAACGACACGAAAAGCUCUGUCGGUUCUCUUACAUUUUUUCAUCUCACCACCGUAAAACCUCACCACUGUCCACCGUGGAUUUACAAAAACCCACACAGAGGCACAACCACGGAGAUAAUAGACGAGAAGAAGCUGUAAAGCCACCACGCUCUUAAUAGCCAAGGGAACUUGUGUGACUUACUACCUGCAUGCUCUUCGAGGUUUGUGGCUGUACCACGAUUCCCAACACGUGUCAAUUGAUGAGGGUUGAGCCCCAAGGAAAUAUCUUCCAAGCUUAAUCAGCUGCCGUUUGAUCAAAGGAAGCAUUUGAUCAACACCAUUGAUUCGCAGCCAUUUAAUCAGCUGUCGUUUGAUCAAAGCAAGCAUUUAAUCAGCUGUCGUUUGAUCAAAGCAAGCAUUUGAUUAGCACCAUUUGGUCAACAUUCGCAUCAACGAACGAAAUCCCUCAGCGAAAAUAUCCGAGAGAUCGAAAAAUGCCUGGCGUUUCUCUCUCGAGCAAGAAAACUGAGCAGCCAUCGGAAUGUUGCCGGCAGUCGAAGCCCAUGUGCCACUGCUGCAGGACAGAAAGCCGGUGAGGCGCAGGUUUGUUUCAGGGGCGGUGUUCAACGUGUCCAUGAGCAUAAUUGGUGCCGGAAUCAUGUCCAUACCGGCCACUCUCAAGGUGCUUGGUGUGAUACCGGCUUUUGUGCUUAUUGUGAUCAUUGCUUUGUUGGCCGACGUCUCGGUGGAGUUCCUGAUGAGGUUCACGCAUUCCGACGAGUCCACGAUGUAUUCCGGCGUUAUGAGGGAGUCCUUUGGGCAGGUGGGAUCGGUUGCCACAGAUAUGUGUCAUGAUUACUAAUCUUGGGUGCUUAAUUAUGUACCAGAUUAUAAUUGGGGAUGUUCUAUCUGGAAAUGGGGCUGUCGGAGUAAGGCAUUCCGGUGUUCUGCAAGAGUGGUUUGGAGUCUAUUGGUGGAACUCACGUGAAAUUGCCCUCCUAUUCACGUUUAUUUUCAUCUUUCUGCCAUUGGUUUUGUUAAGAGUCUCUGAGGUUCAGUUCAGCCAUAUCAGUUUUUCUUGCUGUGGUUUUUGUUGGCAUAAGUUCUGCCAUGGCGAUCUAUGCAAUCUUUGAAGGGAAAGUCAACACCCCAAGAUUGUUACCAAGCUCGGGCAAACAAACCUCCUUCUUUGACUUUUUCACUGUUGUUCCAGUCCUUGUUACAGCCUUCACUUUUCACUUCAACGUUCACCCAAUUGGCUUUGAGCUUGGUAAGCCGUCUGAUAUGAUAUCAACGGUCAGGAUUUCAUUGGUGCUCUAUGCAGCCAUCUACUUCUCCAUUGGACUGUUUGGGUACCUUUUGUUUGGGGAUGCAAUCGUGGUUGACAUACUUGUGAAUUUUGAUAGAAGCUCAGAUUCAGCAAUGGGGGCAGUGCUGAAUGAUGCGGUCAGAUUAAGCUAUGCCCUCUAUCUGAUGUUGGUUUUUCCUCUCUUAAACUUUUCUCUGAGGGUAAAUUUGGAUGAAUUGUGCAUCAACAUUUCUGCUCAGGGCUUGGUACAAUUCUGGGCCCUCAAAAGAUGCAAAUUGGAGCGUCUGACAAAGUACAAAGGAUAGUGUGCGCCAUACUUGAAGCUACUUUUGCUUUUGUAGACCACCCACAUGGAAGUUUGCUGUAAAACAGAUACGCAAAUCUGUAAAAGAAAGGGAUAAAUGGAGCAACUGACCAAACCCCAUGAUCUAAAUCUGCAAUGGAAAGAAAAUGAAUAUAAAAAAGAAAAAGAUGUCUGGAGAGAAAAACAAAAAAGGUGUCGACCACUUAAAGAAAAUAAAGAACUCUAUUAUCUUUAUCAGACAAAACGAUGUAAUUUAUUUUUCUUAUUUCUCGAAGACAUCUGUGUAAACCCUAUCAGAGGGUAAUAAAAAAAAAAAAGGGCAAAGCCCAAAAUAAAUGGGCUGGAAUGUUGUGUGGAGAGCGAAGGCCCAUAAGCCCAAAAUAGCACCAACCAGAUGAUCAAAAAGUACACCCAGUACUCCAAAAUUAUUCGGCAACCUGCCACUAUUAUCACCAACCAGGUGAUCAAAAGUACGCCAAGUACUCUAAAAUUAUUCGGCAACCUGCCGCUAUUACCGCUAACCAGGUGAUCAAAAGUACGUCCAGUACUUCAAAAUUAUACAUGAGCACUACUCAUGUCAAUCAUACAUAAAUAUUCAUGAGCAUCACUCAUAUCAAUCAUACAUAAACAUUCAUGAGCAUCACUCAUGUCAACAUUCAUGAGCAUCACUCAUGUCAACAUUCAUGAGCAUCACUCAUGACAACAUCCAUAAGCAUCACUCAUGUCAAUCAACAUAAACAUUCAUGAGCAUCACUCAUGUCAAUCAACAUCAAAAGCUUCAUUUACAAAAGCUCUAGCUUCAAAAGCUUCAUUUACAGAGCUCCAACUUCAAAAGCUUCAUUUACAAAAGCUCUAGCUUUAAAAACUUCAUUUACAAAAGCUCUAGCUUCAAAAGCUUCAUUUACAGAGCUACAGCUUCAAAAGCUUCAUUUACAAAAGCUCUAGCUUCAAAAGCUUCAUUUACAAAAGCUCUAGCUUCAAAAGCUUCAUUUACAGAGUUACAGCUUCAAAAGCUUCAUUUACAAAAGCUCUAACUUCGAAAGCUUUCAUUUACAGAGCUCUAGCUUCAAAGCUUCACUUGCAAAGCUUCACCUACAAAGCUUCAGUGCAGGGUAUACAAAUACCGCCUCCGAACAACCACCACUUAGGCCCAUACAUGGAUUCAAUUUGAAGUCUCCAGCCAACAGACUCUAUUGACCAAAGACUUGAGGGACUACAUAAUGUACCAUAUAUUGGGCCUCAACUGGGCCUCAUGAAAAAUACUUGGGGGACUUAGCCCAUUAUUCAUGUACUGAGGAGUGAGCCCUUAUUUUAUAAAAGGGACUCCCUUACUUUCAUUAGAGAGCAUCAACUCUAGCCCAUUAUUCAUGUAUUGAAGAGCGAGCCCUUAUUCUAUAAAAGGGACUCCCUCACCAUCAUUAGAGAGCACCCUCACCAUCAUUAGAGAGCAUCGCCGCCUACUGAACAACCGCCUCGCCACGAGCAUCGAUUCUAGCCCAUCAUGUAUGUAUUGAGGAGCGAUCCCUUAAUUUAUAAAAGGGACUCACUCACCUUCAACGCCAUAAGUCGAGUCAACCAAGGCAACAUAAGCCACAAGCAGAGCAGCCUCGCAACAUGUGCUACUUCUAGUUGAGCAUCAUUUUAGAUUGAGCACUGCCUCAUAUCGAGUAUCAGUCCUAGACGACAUCUAGUUACUUCAGCCCACACAUGGAUUGAAUUUCAAGUCUCAAGCCAAAAGACUCUCUUGACUGAAGACUUAGGGGACUACUGUUUGUACCAUACUUAGACCAUCUCCAACCCUGACCUAAAACCUAAAAAUAUUUAGCCCAGAAAAUUUAGGUUUUAGCCCAGAAACAGCUUUUCUACUCCAACCCUUUUGGCCUAAAAUUUGAGCCCCAGAUUAUCAAAAAAUGAAUUAAGGCUAAUUUUUUUUUAAAUUAACUUUUAAAAAAAAAUUAUGUAGACUAUCCUAAAUUAAUUUUAUGAACAUUUUAACCUAAAAAUAUUUAAAUUCCGAUAAAUUUUGAAAAAUCACUAAAUCAAUACAUGAAAAUCAUGAUAAACCACAUAAACUUAAAAAAAAAGACAAUUAAUAAACCACAUAAACUUAAAAAAAAAAGACAAUUAAUAAACCACAUAAACUUAAAAAAAAAAGACAAUUAAUACAAUCGAAAACUCAUAGACUACAUAAACCUAAUAAUGAUAUCCAUCAUCUUGACUUGGUGGUGGACUUGGGUGAUAGUCUUGAGAUGAAUCAUCAUCUUGAAAUAUACUUCUUGUGGCAUUCCUUCGUAAAAUUUAUUUUGGCUUACCACGUAAGUAUCUCUUCCUCUCUGUAGUGUAUUUAUCGAGGUCCUCUAUUAUCAAAUUAGUUUCGUACCUUUCUUGCUCCCUAUCCCCUUCUUGUUUCAUGGCCAAAAACAUUUGGGCCGAUUCUUCUUGCCGACGACACUGGUUUUCGUUCAUUCUUGCCAUUUCGCUAACAAAUUGUGAAUGUAUCGGAUCUUGGGACUUCCCUUUUCUCUUUGCUUCCUUUUGCUUAUCUCUACCCGAGGGCCUUGGCAAAGAAGAAGUUGGGCUUAUUUGGUCGAUACCUUCAUUGUCGGCAAAAUUCACACCUUCAUUGACAUCAUUUGGGGGUGGGGCUUCAUUGUGAAAUAAUCUUCCACAUUGUUGAUUUGCAUCGGUUCUCCACCUCGGACAAUCCUUGAGGAUGUUCCAAGCAUGAUGUAACUUAAAAGCUUGAUUUUUUGGUGUAGUUCUUGUCUUGUAAAUUGCCAUUGCUUUGUCACCCUAUGCAACAAAUACAUAAAAAUAAUUAGUUGCAAAAUACUAUUAUGUACAUGACAAGUAAAAUAUCAACAAAGAAACUCACAAUUUCUGAGGCGCCCCUUCCACUAGGCAUGUCAAUCAUGGCUCUCUCCAAGCUUCCCUUCCACAAAGUGCACGCUUUGUUGAUAAUCUUCCACCGAUCAUAAACACCACCAACUUCCCUUCGACCGGCGUUGGAGUUUUCAUGGAACUUAUCAACGAUUUUACCCCACAAAUCCUUUCUAUUUUGAUUGGUGCCGACGGCACCAUCUUCACUAACAGAAAUCCAUGCCAAACAUAAAGCAAUAUCUUCAUCAAAGGUCCAAUUACGACCUCUAACAUGCUCUUUUGCCAUCUUGAAAAUUUUGGAAAUGAGAAGAAAUGGUAGGAAAAAAAAAAUUGGAAGAAUUGUAGGAGAAAAGUGAGUUUUGUGUGGAUGUUUGAACAAAUACAUAGGUAUUUAUAGAGUUUUUGGUUGAAUUUUAAGUUAAAUAAAUUUUUUUAAUUAUUUUAGCCGUUGGAUUUAAAUUUGGACCGUUAGAUUUGAUUAUAUUCGAUCUAAGCCGUUGAAUUCAAUAAAUAUAUAAAUAUAAAACUAAAAAAAAAAAAAUUGAACCAGGACCGUUGGAUUAACCAACGGCCCAUUUAAACAUAGCCGUUAGAUUACAAAAAGUAGCCGUUGGGCUACUUAUUGAACAGACAGCUCCUGACAGCCAGGGGAACACCCCCACGUGGGACUGUUCUGUUUCUGAAAAUGCCUAGCGCGUGAAGCGCGUAGGCGAGUAGGGAAAUGGAACUGGGCUUCACAGCCCCAGUCUCAGUUGAUGGGGCCCAUUUUGCUUUGUGGCCUAAAACUGGGCUGGUAUUUGACCCUCAAAUGAGUUUUAGGUUUUAGGUUAAUUUUGAGUCAUGGGUUGGAGUGGAUUUUGGGGAGAAAAAAAGGGGAAAUUUUAGGUUAAAGGUCAGGGUUGGAGAUGGUCUUAGGGCAUCUGUAUUUAGAUCUCGUAUAAAUACUCGGGGGACUUAAAUGUAAUUAUGUAAUAAAGGAAGGGGCAAAUAUGUAAUAAGUGAGGAGCUCUUAUUCUAUAAAAUGACUUCUCACCCUCACAAUUAGGGGAUGCCAUUUCUGAAGCCUUCUCACCCCUCUCACAUCCCCUCUCAUAUUCAGAGUUUCUCUCCCUCAUCUCUCAGAUAAAUACAAUAUCAGUGUGGACGUAGCCCAAACCUUGGGAUGAACCACGAUACAUCUUGUGUUAUUUACAUUUUUUGCAGAUUCACGGUCGGAUUUACGUUGUUCCAAAACCUCUGGUUUUGUGCAUCAACAUUCUUUAUGGUCAUCUUCUUCCUGAAGAUGCUGUCGCACUGUAACAGUUAACUAGAAGACAUAGCCCUUCGACUUCAAUUUCAGAUCGUUGAUGGAUCUAGGAACGCCUAGUCGAUCGUCUAGGCAAGCUUUCGCCUACUCCCACUGGGCAAAUGUGUUAUCACUCAUGCCCCGCUUCCAAAGCCGCCUAGGCACGCCUCAUAUGUUUUUUAUUAUUUUUUUUGAAAAAUGAUAUUAUCUACAUGAGCUUGGGAAUGAGCUUAACCUUACAAUGAGCUAUAAAAAAAUGUGGUUCAAUUUUGUCUUUGGCGAGAAUCGAACCUAAAAACUCUGACUUACAAGAAAAGAAGAAUACCACUAAACUGUAGUAUUAAGUGGCCACUUGAUGCCAGCAAUUACAUAUAGAUCUUUAGAAGAGUGGUAUGGAGCCGCAUUUCAUUAUUAACGUACAAUAAAAAGCUUAAAACAUGCACAACAAAAACCAUACAACAGUUCAUAAACAGUUUGACGUGCUCAAGCAAUUACAUUCUAGACAAGGGAAUCAAUUGAAACAAAAGCUUCAGUUCCAUCACUUCACGCGGAUUUAACGGUAAAUGAACAAAACAUAGAUGCAAAACAUGGAAAAUGACAGAUUUUGGUCUAAAAAUAUCAGACGAGAUGAAUCAUCAGUUGAAGAUAUUUUCAUCUUUAGAGAGAGGAGCUCAAGAUAUUUCAAAAUAUCACAAGAGCUAGCUCAAGAUAUUUUAGUCGCAUAAGAAUAUCCAGCCAAGAUUCAUGCAUGAAUGCUUGCGGCUUCAAGUGUGUUAAGCAUACUAAAAUAUUUAUAAUCUAUCCAAAUCUUAUGACUAAUAUACCCUUGAAAGUUGUUCCGUAAGUCAAGGCCAAAUCUUAUGACUAAUGAAAAAAAUGUUUGAAAACUUUGAAUUUUAACGAUAAGGAUAAAAUAAAGGGAACUUUAACGAAAACCACCCGGUACUGUUCACUUUAACAAAAAACCACAUUUUUACACUAAAAAGUCAAUCCUGGUACUAUUCACUUUACCUUUUAUUUUGUCCUUAUCAUUAAAACUCAAAGUUUUCAAGCCAUUUUCAUUAGUUUUCUUUAAAAUAAAGGGUAAAGUGAAAAGUAUUAUGAUUGACUUUUUAGUGUAAAAAUAUGAUUUUUUGUUAAAAUGAACAGUACCGAUAAUUUUUCGUUAAAAUUACCAUUUUUUAAUUAAUUUUAAAAUUUCCACAUGCACUACAAUUUAAGAGAAAACUGUAGCAAUGAUCCCUUAACUUUAACGCAAUUGAAGCGUUGGUCCUUUAACUCAUCAAAAUGUGCAGCUAUGGUCAUUUUCGCCAACUUUGUCAUAACCUCUGUUAAAAUGACUCGUGGUUGAAGAAUCAUUACUAAGAUUAGGUUAAAGUUGAGAGACUAUUUCUUUAAUUAGGUUAAAGUUGAGGAACCACUGCUAUUGGAUUAAAGUAAAGAACAAUUUUCACUUUUGUUAUCUAUAUUUCUCCCUUAAUUUAGCUUCACGUACAUGGCACGUAACUCAUUUUGACAGAUGUUCUGAUGAAGUUGAUAAAAAAUAUCAUAAAUGCACGUUUUUAUGAGUUAAAGACCAAUGAUUGUGAAAUUUUAGUUAAAAAAUCAUUAUUUCAAUUCAAUCAACGUUGAUAGACCAUUACUACAAUUUACUUCAAAUUUAAACGCCAAAGUUCCCUGUAACCAAAAAGGAAAGGAAAUUCACAUUUUCCUGGAAAUUGCAACUUGUAAGAAUGGAAGAGGUGUAACCACGUAUAGAGAAAACAACUGAAAAAAAGUGAGCUGAGUCAGACCAACAAAUAAAAUGAAAUAUGAGCUGAGCUGCUUUUGAUCACUUGCACUUUUUCUCUUUUCAACUGGAUCCCACCAAACCGACCAUUCCUCAAGAGGGAAUUUAUUUUUAUAAUUAAGGACGCAACCCCUUCAUGCAUUCUCAUCACUUUUUCUCUCUUCCCUUCCCUUCCAUUCAAACCCCAAAACACGCUUCAGAAAAUACAAUGACGUUAACUCUCCGUUCUUCAACUUCCUUCGUCAAUCUUAAAGACCAUAAGGGCCUUAAAAACUCCGGAGACUCCCCCGGCACGAUAUGCUUUGCACAAACCAAGCCAUCAUGCCGUCUACGGGCAAAGAGUUCAAUGCAAGAAACACGGCUCUUGCACGAGAAGAACUUAAUGACCAUCUCUGAUGGAAGGAGAGAGUUGCUUCAUGCACUACCCAAUAUUGCUCACACCAGCACUGACAACAAGGUGCCUGUGUACGUGAUGCUUCCGCUCGACACGGUGAGUCACGUAGGGCAUUUGAAUAAGCAUGAAUGCGAGUUUGAUGGCCCUGAAGCAAGCAGGGGUGGAAGGAGUUAUGGUGGAUGUGUGGUGGGGAUUGGUGGAGGAGGACGGACCUUCCAAGUACAACUGGGAAGGGUAUGCCGAGCUUGUGCAGAUGGUGCAAAAGCACGGCAUGAAGAUCCAAGUCGUCAUGUCUUUUCAUCAGUGCGGAGGAAAUGUUGGAGACUCAUGCA
This 21674-nucleotide long non-coding RNA is filed under the name Malus domestica (apple). Its description in RNAcentral is "long non-coding RNA (MDOM_LNC005545)". The record is from RNAcentral. Lineage: Eukaryota; Viridiplantae; Streptophyta; Magnoliopsida; Rosales; Rosaceae.